UGGGGAAUAUUGCACAAUGGGCGAAAGCCUGAUGCAGCAACGCCGCGUGAAGGAAGAAGGUCUUCGGAUCGUAAACUUCUGUCCUUGGGGAAGAAGAACUGACGGUACCCAAGGAGGAAGCCCCGGCUAACUACGUGCCAGCAGCCGCGGUAAUACGUAGGGGGCAAGCGUUAUCCGGAAUUAUUGGGCGUAAAGAGUACGUAGGUGGCAACUUAAGCGCAGGGUUUAAGGCAAUGGCUCAACCAUUGUUCGCCCUGCGAACUGGGAUGCUUGAGUGCAGGAGAGGAAAGCGGAAUUCCUAGUGUAGCGGUGAAAUGCGUAGAUAUUAGGAGGAACACCAGUGGCGAAGGCGGCUUGCUGGACAAUAACUGACGCUGAGGCGCGAAAGCGUGGGGAGCAAACAGGAUUAGAUACCC
This 416-nucleotide ribosomal RNA is filed under the name uncultured bacterium. RNAcentral describes it as "bacterial SSU rRNA". It matches the Rfam family "Bacterial small subunit ribosomal RNA", at positions 355 to 787 of the family's 1533-position model. The record is from RNAcentral.